RNAcentral lists this ribosomal RNA (253 nucleotides) under uncultured bacterium. Its description in RNAcentral is "partial 16S ribosomal RNA". It matches the Rfam family "Bacterial small subunit ribosomal RNA", at positions 524 to 776 of the family's 1533-position model. The record is from RNAcentral.
UACGAAGGGGGCUAGCGUUGCUCGGAAUGACUGGGCGUAAAGCGCGCGCAGGCGGUCUUCCAAGUCAGUGGUGAAAGCCUGGAGCUCAACUCCAGAACUGCCAUUGAAACUGUUAGACUUGAGUACGAGAGAGGUGAGUGGAAUUCCCAGUGUAGAGGUGAAAUUCGUAGAUAUUGGGAAGAACACCAGUGGCGAAGGCGGCUCACUGGCUCGUAACUGACGCUCAGGCGCGACAGCGUGGGGAUCAAACAGG